AUACGGAGGAUGCGAGCGUUAUCCGGAUUUAUUGGGUUUAAAGGGAGCGCAGACGGGUCGUUAAGUCAGCUGUGAAAGUUUGGGGCUCAACCUUAAAAUUGCAGUUGAUACUGGCGUCCUUGAGUGCGGUUGAGGUGUGCGGAAUUCGUGGUGUAGCGGUGAAAUGCUUAGAUAUCACGAAGAACUCCGAUUGCGAAGGCAGCACACUAAGCCGUAACUGACGUUCAUGCUCGAAAGUGUGGGUAUCAAACAGGAUUAAAUACCCUGGUAGUCCACACGGUAAACGAUGGAUACUCGCUGUUGGCGAUAUACAGUCAGCGGCUUAGCGAAAGCGUUAAGUAUCCCACCUGGGGAGUACGCCGGCAACGGUGAAACUCAAAGGAAUUGACGGGGGCCCGCACAAGCGGAGGAACAUGUGGUUUAAUUCGAUGAUACGCGAGGAACCUUACCCGGGCUUAAAUUGCAAAGGAAUAAUCUGGAAACAGGUUAGUCUUCGGACCUUUGUGAAGGUGCUGCAUGGUUGUCGUCAGCUCGUGCCGUGAGGUGUCGGCUUAAGUGCCAUAACGAGCGCAACCCUCGCCGCCAGUUACUAACAGGUAAUGCUGAGGACUCUGGCGGGACUGCCAUCGUAAGAUGUGAGGAAGGUGGGGAUGACGUCAAAUCAGCACGGCCCUUACGUCCGGGGCUACACACGUGUUACAAUGGGCGGUACAGAAGGCAGCUACCUGGCGACAGGAUGCCAAUCCCUAAAGCCGCUCUCAGUUCGGACUGGAGUCUGCAACCCGCCUGCACGAAGUUGGAAUUGCUAGUAAUCGUGCAUCAGCCACGGCGCGGUGAAUACGUUCCCGGGCCUUGUACACACCGCCCGUCAAGCCAUGAAAGCCGGGGGUACCUGAAGUGCGUAACCGCAAGGAGCGCCCUAGGGUAAAACCGGUAAUUGGGGCU
Molecule: ribosomal RNA, 945 nt
Filed under: uncultured bacterium
Lineage: Bacteria
Description: bacterial SSU rRNA
Rfam family: Bacterial small subunit ribosomal RNA
Source: RNAcentral